CGCUGGGUCGACUGCAGAAACGAUCGUCUGGGUGUCGGAGAGGGAUCGGGCGGGAUUUUUUUCGAAUGCCCGUGGAUGCUGAGGAAUGUUGGCGGUCGCGACCGCCGCGCUAAGAGUUAGUUGAUGUAGAAGGUUCUUCUUUUGCACAGUGAAAACAAAAUAUGAGAAUUAACGGGGAAUGAACAACAACUUCUAAAAUCAGAUGAAAUCAAAAGUGGUUCAACUUGAUAUACGAGUUUAUUAUCAGCACAAAUGAAGAUUGCCAAAAAAGGUUAUGGAUGAACCUUUGCUGAUAAGCAUGGAAUUCGAAGAAGCGCAAUGAUAGUGAAGAACCAAUAGCAGAUUCGCAACUGGAGCUGAGCCUCAUAAAUUCUUACCACCCUGAAUAGGUUCCCUUUUUAUUGCUGGUGAGAAACGACAGAAGAAACAAGAAAAAAAUAAUAAUAAUAAUAAUUCACCAGAAUGUAGAAGUAUUUGUGUUUUAGUAUCUCAGACAGAAGAACAAAUGGUGUGUAAUAUAGAUCCUAUUGUCCCCGCAGAACAUCAGCAAACUACUUAUCU
Uloborus diversus is the source of this 561-nucleotide long non-coding RNA. RefSeq lists it as uncharacterized. The record is from RefSeq and is a predicted model, not a curated record. The transcript has 5 exons. NCBI's taxonomy places the organism in Eukaryota, Metazoa, Arthropoda, Arachnida, Araneae, Uloboridae.